This 445-nucleotide ribosomal RNA is filed under the name uncultured bacterium. RNAcentral's name for it is "partial 16S ribosomal RNA". It matches the Rfam family "Bacterial small subunit ribosomal RNA", at positions 354 to 796 of the family's 1533-position model. The record is from RNAcentral.
GUGAGGAAUAUUGGACAAUGGGCGCAAGCCUGAUCCAGCCAUGCCGCGUGCAGGAAGACGCAUCUAUGGUGUGUAAACUGCUUUUGUACGGGAAGAAACACUCCCUCGUGAGGGAGCUUGACGGUACCGUAAGAAUAAGGAUCGGCUAACUCCGUGCCAGCAGCCGCGGUAAUACGGAGGAUCCAAGCGUUAUCCGGAAUCCUUGGGUUUAAAGGGUCCGUAGGCGGUUUAAUUAGUCAGUGGUGAAAGCCCAUCGCUCAACGAUGGAACGGCCAUUGAUACUGUUAGACUUGAAUUACAAGGAAGUAACUAGAAUAUGUAGUGUAGCGGUGAAAUGCUUAGAUAUUACAUGGAAUACCAAUUGCGAAGGCAGGUUACUACUUGUGGAUUGACGCUGAUGGACGAAAGCGUGGGGAGCGAACAGGAUUAGAAACCCGGGUAGUCC